This 131-nucleotide ribosomal RNA is filed under the name uncultured bacterium. RNAcentral describes it as "partial 23S ribosomal RNA". It matches the Rfam family "Bacterial large subunit ribosomal RNA", at positions 1 to 131 of the family's 2925-position model. The record is from RNAcentral.
CCCAAGCUACGAAGGGCCAACGGCGGAUGCCUUGGCGACAGGAACCGAUGAAGGACGUGGGAGGCUGCGAUAAGCCACGGGUAGGUGCCGACCAACCGUCGAUCCGUGGAUGUCCGAAUGGGGAAACCCGG